GAGGGAAACAAGAAACACGUAAACACCCAAAUAACCGUUUUAGUCCUUUCCCCCUGGAUUUGUGUCUUAAGAUAGCCUACAGUAUAUACUUCAAAGGAUACUCCAGAGGCCACGAGACUGUUCCAAUGGGACUUGAAGGGCAAUGCUGGGGAGUGGAGAGCAAUGAAGCUGCUACCUAGCUGGAUUUGAACCUCUAUCAACCAAUGAAAAAACUAACACUGUAUAUUCAUUCUGGCACCAUGGCAACACUUUUCUGGUUUAUAUGAGAACAGAUCUGUUCAGGAAUAUAACUUUAUCACUUGUUCAAAUCAUUUAUCUCAAAUAUUUGCCUCAAAUAUCUUCGAAAUAUAACAUUA
This is a long non-coding RNA of Oncorhynchus gorbuscha (pink salmon), 356 nucleotides long. RefSeq lists it as uncharacterized. NCBI's taxonomy places the organism in Eukaryota, Metazoa, Chordata, Actinopteri, Salmoniformes, Salmonidae. The transcript is spliced from 3 exons. The record is from RefSeq and is a predicted model, not a curated record.